Molecule: ribosomal RNA, 274 nt
Filed under: uncultured bacterium
Lineage: Bacteria
Description: partial 16S ribosomal RNA
Rfam family: Bacterial small subunit ribosomal RNA
Source: RNAcentral
AUACGGAGGGUGCGAGCGUUAAUCGGAAUUACUGGGCGUAAAGCGCGCGUAGGCGGCUUUGUAAGUCGGAUGUGAAAGCCCUGGGCUCAACCUGGGAAUUGCACUCGAUACUGCAGAGCUAGAGUAUGGUAGAGGGAAGUGGAAUUUCCGGUGUAGCGGUGAAAUGCGUAGAUAUCGGAAGGAACACCAGUGGCGAAGGCGACUUCCUGGGCCAAUCCUGACGUUGAGGUGCGAAAGCGUGGGGAGCAAACAGGAUUAGAAACCCCAGUAGUCC